Molecule: ribosomal RNA, 114 nt
Filed under: uncultured bacterium
Lineage: Bacteria
Description: partial 16S ribosomal RNA
Rfam family: Bacterial small subunit ribosomal RNA
Source: RNAcentral
UAUUAGUUAGUUGGUGGGGUAACGGCUCACCAAGACAACGAUACAUAGGGGACUGAGAGGUUAACCCCCACAUUGGUACUGAGACACGGACCAAACUCCUACGGAAGGCAGCAG